GACGAACGCUGGCGGCGUGCUUAACACAUGCAAGUCGAACGGAAAGGCCCUGCUUGCAGGGUCCUCGAGUGGCGAACGGGUGAGUAACACGUGGGUGAUCUGCCCUGCACUUCGGGAUAAGCCUGGGAAACUGGGUCUAAUACCGGAUAGGAGCCAUUUUUAGUGUGAUGGUUGGAAAGUUUUUUCGGUGUAGGAUGAGCUCGCGGCCUAUCAGCUUGCUGGUGGGGUAAUGGCCUACCAAGGCGGCGACGGGUAGCCGGCCUGAGAGGGUGGACGGCCACAUUGGGACUGAGACACGGCCCAGACUCCUACGGGAGGCAGCAGUGGGGAAUAUUGCACAAUGGGCGCAAGCCUGAUGCAGCGACGCCGCGUGGGGGAUGACGGCCUUCGGGUUGUAAACUCCUUUCGCUAGGGACGAAGCUUUUUGUGACGGUACCUAGAUAAGAAGCACCGGCUAACUACGUG
Molecule: ribosomal RNA, 465 nt
Filed under: uncultured bacterium
Lineage: Bacteria
Description: partial 16S ribosomal RNA
Rfam family: Bacterial small subunit ribosomal RNA
Source: RNAcentral